CUAACAUCUUCUGAGUGACAUAACCUGGAUUUCUGAUGGGCCGGUGUCUUUCUAACAAAAACUAAUGACUUGACUGAGGCCACUGCACAGAUUGAGAAAACCACAAUGAACAUCUGUCUCCAGAGGAUGCACCAGGCAAUGACUUUUCUGAUGUUGGCAUCAUCAUCGAGGGUAUAGUAGUUCUUCAAGAUCUGGAUAACGUGACCUUUGCAGUAGCCAUGCUGUUUGGACCUUUUUUAUUCCUUCAAUAUGAGUUACCCAUCACAACUCUGCUACACUUUUGAGGUGAUUCAAAGGGUGGUAAUGGAGUUGGAUGCAACUCAGCUCUCAAGAAAAACUCACAACUAAGACAAAACUGCUCCUGCAAUGAAGCUCACUGUUAUGCAUGCAAGCUGAUCAGCUCUAGUGAAGAGAUGUAGCAUGAACAGUUAUGCAGUCUAAAUAUCCCAUAUGGGUCGUGUGAAAUGUUAUUUUCAGUUUCAUUCAGUUGAAGUAAAGAACGUUGAAUAUUUCUAAGUGUGCUGUUUUGAACCAAGAUGUCACAGUAUGAUCAGUGCUGUAAUUUUUGACAGUCACUGUAUCAAUGUUAUUUUUGCAUCUCUUGAAUAAAGGUUUUGACCUGCAA
Long non-coding RNA from Astatotilapia calliptera (eastern happy), 625 nucleotides. The record is from Ensembl. NCBI's taxonomy places the organism in Eukaryota, Metazoa, Chordata, Actinopteri, Cichliformes, Cichlidae.